This 460-nucleotide ribosomal RNA is filed under the name uncultured bacterium. Its description in RNAcentral is "partial 16S ribosomal RNA". It matches the Rfam family "Bacterial small subunit ribosomal RNA", at positions 338 to 795 of the family's 1533-position model. The record is from RNAcentral.
CCUACGGGAGGCAGCAGUGAGGAAUAUUGGUCAAUGGACGAGAGUCUGAACCAGCCAAGUAGCGUGAAGGAUGACUGCCCUAUGGGUUGUAAACUUCUUUUAUAAAGGAAUAAAACGAGGCACGUGUGCCUUUUUGCAUGUACUUUAUGAAUAAGGAUCGGCUAACUCCGUGCCAGCAGCCGCGGUAAUACGGAGGAUCCGAGCGUUAUCCGGAUUUAUUGGGUUUAAAGGGAGCGUAGAUGGGUUGUUAAGUCAGUUGUGAAAGUUUGCGGCUCAACCGUAAAAUUGCAAUUGAUACUGGCAGUCUUGAGUACAGUUGAGGUAAGCGGAAUUCGUGGUGUAGCGGUGAAAUGCUUAGAUAUCACGAAGAACCCCGAUUGCGAAGGCAGCUUACUAAACUGUGACUGACAUUGAUGCUCGAAAGCGUGGGUAUCGAACAGGAUUAGAUACCCUAGUAGUC